RNAcentral lists this ribosomal RNA (405 nucleotides) under uncultured bacterium. Its description in RNAcentral is "bacterial SSU rRNA". It matches the Rfam family "Bacterial small subunit ribosomal RNA", at positions 370 to 772 of the family's 1533-position model. The record is from RNAcentral.
AAUGGGCGGGAGCCUGAACCAGCCAAGUCGCGUGAAGGAAGAAGGAUCCAUGGUUCGUAAACUUCUUUUGCAGGGGAAUAAAGUGCGGGACGUGUCCUGCUUUGUAUGUACCCUGAGCAUAAGGAUCGGCUAACUCCGUGCCAGCAGCCGCGGUAAUACGAAGGAUCCGAGCGUUAUCCGGAUUUAUUGGGUUUAAAGGGUGCGUAGGUGGUUUGAUAAGUCAGCGGUGAAAGUUUGCAGCUUAAAUGUAAAAANGCCGUUGAAGCUGUCGGACUUGAGUGUAAAUGAGGUAGGCGGAAUGCGUGGUGUAGCGGUGAAAUGCAUAGAUAUCACGCAGAACUCCGAUUGCGAAGGCAGCUUACUAAGCUACAACUGACACUGAAGCACGAAAGCGUGGGGAUCAAA